GUGAGGAAUAUUGGUCAAUGGACGAGAGUCUGAACCAGCCAAGUCGCGUGAAGGAAGACGGUUCUAUGAAUUGUAAACUUCUUUUGUGCAGGAAUAAAGUGGGUUACGUGUAACCUUUUGUAUGUACUGUACGAAUAAGGAUCGGCUAACUCCGUGCCAGCAGCCGCGGUAAUACGGAGGAUCCGAGCGUUAUCCGGAUUUAUUGGGUUUAAAGGGUGCGUAGGUUGAUUGAUAAGUCAGCGGUGAAAGUUUGCAGCUUAACUGUAAAAUUGCCGUUGAAACUGUCGGUCUUGAGUGCAAAUGAGGUAGGCGGAAUGUGUUGUGUAGCGGUGAAAUGCUUAGAUAUAACACAGAACUCCGAUUGCGAAGGCAGCUUACUGGGAUGCAACUGACACUGAUGCACGAAAGCGUGGGUAUCAAACAGGAUUAGAAACCCUUGUAGUCC
RNAcentral lists this ribosomal RNA (445 nucleotides) under uncultured bacterium. Its description in RNAcentral is "partial 16S ribosomal RNA". It matches the Rfam family "Bacterial small subunit ribosomal RNA", at positions 354 to 796 of the family's 1533-position model. The record is from RNAcentral.